RNAcentral lists this ribosomal RNA (253 nucleotides) under uncultured bacterium. RNAcentral describes it as "partial 16S ribosomal RNA". It matches the Rfam family "Bacterial small subunit ribosomal RNA", at positions 524 to 776 of the family's 1533-position model. The record is from RNAcentral.
UACGUAGGGUGCAAGCGUUAAUCGGAAUUACUGGGCGUAAAGGGCUCGUAGGUGGCCAACUAAGUCAUACGUGAAAUCCCUCGGCUUAACCGGGGAACUGCGUCUGAUACUGGAUGGCUUGAGGUUGGGAGAGGGAUGCGGAAUUCCAGGUGUAGCGGUGAAAUGCGUAGAUAUCUGGAGGAGCACCGGUGGCGAAGGCGGCAUCCUGGACCAAUUCUGACACUGAGGAGCGAAAGCCAGGGGAGCAAACGGG